GAUGAACGCUGGCGGCGUGCCUAAUACAUGCCAGUCGAGCGAACAGACGAGGAGCUUGCCCCUCUGACGUUAGCGGCGGACGGGUGAGUAACACGUGGAUAACCUACCUAUAAGACUGGGAUAACUUCGGGAAACCGGAGCUAAUACCGGAUAAUAUAUUGAACCGCAUGGUUCAAUAGUGAAAGACGGUUUUGCUGUCACUUAUAGAUGGAUCCGCGCCGCAUUAGCUAGUUGGUAAGGUAACGGCUUACCAAGGCGACGAUGCGUAGCCGACCUGAGAGGGUGAUCGGCCACACUGGAACUGAGACACGGUCCAGACUCCUACGGGAGGCAGCAGUAGGGAAUCUUCCGCAAUGGGCGAAAGCCUGACGGAGCAACGCCGCGUGAGUGAUGAAGGUCUUCGGAUCGUAAAACUCUGUUAUUAGGGAAGAACAAAUGUGUAAGUAACUAUGCACGUCUUGACGGUACCUAAUCAGAAAGCCACGGCUAACUACGUG
Molecule: ribosomal RNA, 497 nt
Filed under: uncultured bacterium
Lineage: Bacteria
Description: partial 16S ribosomal RNA
Rfam family: Bacterial small subunit ribosomal RNA
Source: RNAcentral